RNAcentral lists this ribosomal RNA (1247 nucleotides) under Escherichia coli. Its description in RNAcentral is "partial 23S ribosomal RNA". It matches the Rfam family "Bacterial large subunit ribosomal RNA", at positions 1 to 1276 of the family's 2925-position model. The record is from RNAcentral. Lineage: Bacteria; Pseudomonadati; Pseudomonadota; Gammaproteobacteria; Enterobacterales; Enterobacteriaceae.
GGGUUGUGAGGUUAAGCGACUAAGCGUACACGGUGGAUGCCCUGGCAGUCAGAGGCGAUGAAGGACGUGCUAAUCUGCGAUAAGCGUCGGUAAGGUGAUAUGAACCGUUAUAACCGGCGAUUUCCGAAUGGGGAAACCCAGUGUGAUUCGUCACACUAUCAUUAACUGAAUCCAUAGGUUAAUGAGGCGAACCGGGGGAACUGAAACAUCUAAGUACCCCGAGGAAAAGAAAUCAACCGAGAUUCCCCCAGUAGCGGCGAGCGAACGGGGAGGAGCCCAGAGCCUGAAUCAGUGUGUGUGUUAGUGGAAGCGUCUGGAAAGGCGCGCGAUACAGGGUGACAGCCCCGUACACAAAAAUGCACAUGCUGUGAGCUCGAUGAGUAGGGCGGGACACGUGGUAUCCUGUCUGAAUAUGGGGGGACCAUCCUCCAAGGCUAAAUACUCCUGACUGACCGAUAGUGAACCAGUACCGUGAGGGAAAGGCGAAAAGAACCCCGGCGAGGGGAGUGAAAAAGAACCUGAAACCGUGUACGUACAAGCAGUGGGAGCACAGAGCAAUCUGUGUGACUGCGUACCUUUUGUAUAAUGGGUCAGCGACUUAUAUUCUGUAGCAAGGUUAACCGAAUAGGGGAGCCGAAGGGAAACCGAGUCUUAACUGGGCGUUAAGUUGCAGGGUAUAGACCCGAAACCCGGUGAUCUAGCCAUGGGCAGGUUGAAGGUUGGGUAACACUAACUGGAGGACCGAACCGACUAAUGUUGAAAAAUUAGCGGAUGACUUGUGGCUGGGGGUGAAAGGCCAAUCAAACCGGGAGAUAGCUGGUUCUCCCCGAAAGCUAUUUAGGUAGCGCCUCGUGAAUUCAUCUCCGGGGGUAGAGCACUGUUUCGGCAAGGGGGUCAUCCCGACUUACCAACCCGAUGCAAACUGCGAAUACCGGAGAAUGUUAUCACGGGAGACACACGGCGGGUGCUAACGUCCGUCGUGAAGAGGGAAACAACCCAGACCGCCAGCUAAGGUCCCAAAGUCAUGGUUAAGUGGGAAACGAUGUGGGAAGGCCCAGACAGCCAGGAUGUUGGCUUAGAAGCAGCCAUCAUUUAAAGAAAGCGUAAUAGCUCACUGGUCGAGUCGGCCUGCGCGGAAGAUGUAACGGGGCUAAACCAUGCACCGAAGCUGCGGCAGCGACGCUGAUGCGUUGUUGGGUAGGGGAGCGUUCUGUAAGCCUGUGAAGGUGUGCUGUGAGGCAUGCUGG